CAUGGUGUAGCGGUUAGCACUCAGGACUCUGAAUCCUGCGACCCGAGUUCAAAUCUCGGUG
This 61-nucleotide transfer RNA is filed under the name Caenorhabditis japonica. It matches the Rfam family "tRNA", at positions 6 to 65 of the family's 71-position model. Rfam says of the family: Transfer RNA (tRNA) molecules are approximately 80 nucleotides in length. Their secondary structure includes four short double-helical elements and three loops (D, anti-codon, and T loops). Further hydrogen bonds mediate the characteristic L-shaped molecular structure. tRNAs have two regions of fundamental functional importance: the anti-codon, which is responsible for specific mRNA codon recognition, and the 3' end, to which the tRNAs corresponding amino acid is attached (by aminoacyl-tRNA synthetases). tRNAs cope with the degeneracy of the genetic code in two manners: having more than one tRNA (with a specific anti-codon) for a particular amino acid; and 'wobble' base-pairing, i.e. permitting non-standard base-pairing at the 3rd anti-codon position. The record is from Rfam by way of RNAcentral. Lineage: Eukaryota; Metazoa; Nematoda; Chromadorea; Rhabditida; Rhabditidae.